UGCACUCAACACUGUAAAUUGCUCUGGAUGAGAGCGUCUGCUAAAUGACUCAAA
Salmo salar (Atlantic salmon) is the source of this 54-nucleotide non-coding RNA. Lineage: Eukaryota; Metazoa; Chordata; Actinopteri; Salmoniformes; Salmonidae. The record is from Rfam.